GAUGAACGCUAGCGAGACGCCUAACACAUGCAAGUCGAAUGCUUCGGCAUGGCAAACGGGUGCGUAACACGUGCUUAACCUGCCCUAAAGUGGGGGAUACCUGUUGAAAAACAACUAAUCCCCCAUGUGAUAAUAGAAAUGAAAAUACUAUUAUUAAAGAUUUAUCGCUUUAGGAGGGGGGCGCGGCCUAUUAGCUAGUUGGUGAGGUAACUGCUCACCAAGGCGAUGAUGGGUAGCUGGUCUGAGAGGAUGAUCAGCCACAAUGGAACUGAGACACGGUCCAUACCCCUACGGGGGGCAGCAGUGGGGAAUCUUGCACAAUGGACGAAAGUCUGAUGCAGCGAUCUCGCGUGGAGGAUGACGCAUUACGGUGUGUAAACUCCUUUUCUGGAGGAAGACGACUGACGGUACUCCAGGAAUAAGGGACGGCUAACUAUG
Molecule: ribosomal RNA, 438 nt
Filed under: uncultured bacterium
Lineage: Bacteria
Description: bacterial SSU rRNA
Rfam family: Bacterial small subunit ribosomal RNA
Source: RNAcentral